RNAcentral lists this ribosomal RNA (253 nucleotides) under uncultured bacterium. RNAcentral's name for it is "partial 16S ribosomal RNA". It matches the Rfam family "Bacterial small subunit ribosomal RNA", at positions 524 to 776 of the family's 1533-position model. The record is from RNAcentral.
UACGUAGGGUGCGAGCGUUGUCCGGAAUUAUUGGGCGUAAAGGGCUCGUAGGCGGUCUGUUACGUCGGGAGUGAAAACUCAGGGCUCAACCCUGAGCCUGCUUCCGAUACGGGCAGACUAGAGGUAUGCAGGGGAGAAUGGAAUUCCUGGUGUAGCGGUGAAAUGCGCAGAUAUCAGGAGGAACACCGGUGGCGAAGGCGGUUCUCUGGGCAUUACCUGACGCUGAGGAGCGAAAGUGUGGGGAGCGAACAGG